Molecule: ribosomal RNA, 207 nt
Filed under: uncultured bacterium
Lineage: Bacteria
Description: partial 16S ribosomal RNA
Rfam family: Bacterial small subunit ribosomal RNA
Source: RNAcentral
CGUGUAGGUGGUUUAGCAAGUCAGAUGUGAAAGCCCUGGGCUUAACCCAGGAAGUGCAUUUGAAACUGUUAUUCUAGAGUAUGGGAGAGGAGAGCGGAAUUCCCAGUGUAGAGGUGAAAUUCGUAGAUAUUGGGAGGAACACCGGUGGCGAAGGCGACUCUCUGGACCAAUACUGACACUGAGACGCGAAAGCGUGGGGAGCAAACA